This 305-nucleotide ribosomal RNA is filed under the name uncultured bacterium. RNAcentral describes it as "bacterial SSU rRNA". It matches the Rfam family "Bacterial small subunit ribosomal RNA", at positions 337 to 635 of the family's 1533-position model. The record is from RNAcentral.
UCCUACGGGGGGCAGCAGUAGGGAAUUUUCGUCAAUGGGCGCAAGCCUGAACGAGCAAUGCCGCGUGAACGAGGAAGGUCUUCGGAUCGUAAAGUUCUGUUGAAGGGGAAAAAGAGCGGAGAGAGGAAAUGGUCUCCGAUUGAUAUUACCCUUCGAGGAAGUCACGGCUAACUACGUGCCAGCAGCCGCGGUAAUACGUAGGUGGCGAGCGUUAUCCGGAAUGAUUGGGCGUAAAGGGUGCGUAGGCGGCCUGCUAAGUCUGGAGUGAAAGGUACCGGCUCAACCGGUACAGGCUAUGGAAACUG